UUUUAGAUAGUAUUAAAAGUACGUUUACCUUCCAAGUAAGAAGUCUCUCUUGUUGAGUCUGCCAU
RNAcentral lists this transfer RNA (65 nucleotides) under Cerion coloni. RNAcentral describes it as "tRNA-Gly". Lineage: Eukaryota; Metazoa; Mollusca; Gastropoda; Stylommatophora; Cerionidae. The record is from RNAcentral.